GGGCCCGUAGCUCAGGCUGGUAGAGCAACUGGCUCUUAACCAGUAGGUCGUGGGUUCAAAUCCCUCCGGGCCCG
This 74-nucleotide transfer RNA is filed under the name Candidatus Woesearchaeota archaeon. Its description in RNAcentral is "tRNA-Lys". It matches the Rfam family "tRNA". Rfam says of the family: Transfer RNA (tRNA) molecules are approximately 80 nucleotides in length. Their secondary structure includes four short double-helical elements and three loops (D, anti-codon, and T loops). Lineage: Archaea; Nanobdellati; Candidatus Woesearchaeota. The record is from RNAcentral.